ACUACUGUGAGGGGAACAGCGUGAAUGCCCUUCCUCUCCCGGCCUUUCCCUCCAGGCAGUUACGACAGGCCAUUAGAGGUUAUUUACAUUCAAUAGUUACACCUGCCACACCUGUAAAGUCUUCUAAUUUUCGUGAGAUGUCUUCAGUCCACUCUUCUAUAGAAGCAAAGGAGCAUUCUCUAGCACCCAAAUACAACUAGAGAGAAUUCAGACUUCCAACAGAGCACAUGCAGGCAGUGAACAGGAAACACACACCAGGAGUACAGGUGCUCUGGGCUCUUAAAGGAGAAGAGCUAGAGAAAGGCUUUCAAAGAUGAACUGCAUUCCUAGUGCUCAUAGUGAGAACCCGCAGAAGCUAUGGGAAAGCUGUGUAAUGUCUGUAUUUACCAGGCCAAAAUAAAUG
This is a long non-coding RNA of Lagenorhynchus albirostris (white-beaked dolphin), 403 nucleotides long. RefSeq lists it as uncharacterized. The transcript has 3 exons. NCBI's taxonomy places the organism in Eukaryota, Metazoa, Chordata, Mammalia, Artiodactyla, Delphinidae. The record is from RefSeq and is a predicted model, not a curated record.